UGUUUGUAUUUUGAAAAUUAUUAUUUCCAUUUCCCCGAGAUCAAAGUGGCCUGGUGGAACUUACCUCCGAGUCGCGUGUUCUGGGGAUCCUGACCGUCAGACCGAGGCGGAGUCCCGCCGAGGAGUCGGCUGGUGACACAGACGUCCGGACGCUCCGGGAAGGCAGAGUCUGCAACCGGCUCCGCCGUCUCUCUUGACCCCGCGCUCGCAAGACACUUCUCUAGUAAACCCGGGAAUGUCUACAAAUGACGGGGAGAAGCAAUUUAAUAUUUCUUAAGCUCCCACGUGAGGACACUCAAGGACACUCCAUCCCAGCUGUGGACCGAUGCGACGCUUUUGAAAACUUCUAUCCCCCGGGCUCAAGAGGAAAUUCACC
This is a long non-coding RNA of Tachyglossus aculeatus (Australian echidna), 376 nucleotides long. RefSeq lists it as uncharacterized. The record is from RefSeq and is a predicted model, not a curated record. The transcript has 3 exons. NCBI's taxonomy places the organism in Eukaryota, Metazoa, Chordata, Mammalia, Monotremata, Tachyglossidae.